This 309-nucleotide ribosomal RNA is filed under the name uncultured bacterium. RNAcentral describes it as "bacterial SSU rRNA". It matches the Rfam family "Bacterial small subunit ribosomal RNA", at positions 28 to 334 of the family's 1533-position model. The record is from RNAcentral.
GAUGAACGCUAGCGGCAGGCCUAACACAUGCAAGUCGAGGGGUAACAGAGGUAGCUUGCUACUUGCUGACGACCGGCGCACGGGUGCGUAACGCGUAUACAAUCUGCCUAUCACUGAGGGAUAGCCCGAAGAAAUUUGGAUUAACACCUCAUGGUACUGCGCCACCGCAUGGUGAUGCAGUUAAAGGUUACGGUGAUAGAUGAGUAUGCGUCCUAUUAGCUAGAUGGUAAGGUAACGGCUUACCAUGGCUACGAUAGGUAGGGGUCCUGAGAGGGAGAUCCCCCACACUGGUACUGAGACACGGACCAG